GCUGGGAUGUCCGAGUUGGUCUAAGGAGCCAGAUUUAAGUCCUGGUAGGGAAACCUGCGUGGGUUCGAACCCCACUCCCAGCA
This 83-nucleotide transfer RNA is filed under the name Cronartium ribicola 11-2. RNAcentral's name for it is "tRNA-Leu (TAA) (tRNA-Leu-TAA-1-1)". It matches the Rfam family "tRNA". From Rfam's summary of the family: Transfer RNA (tRNA) molecules are approximately 80 nucleotides in length. Lineage: Eukaryota; Fungi; Basidiomycota; Pucciniomycetes; Pucciniales; Coleosporiaceae. The record is from RNAcentral.